UGGGGAAUAUUGCACAAUGGAGGAAACUCUGAUGCAGCAACGCCGCGUGAGCGAUGAAGGUCUUCGGAUCGUAAAGCUCUGUCUUUAGGGAUGAUAAUGACAGUACCUAAGGAGGAAGCCACGGCUAACUACGUGCCAGCAGCCGCGGUAAUACGUAGGUGGCAAGCGUUAUCCGGAAUUAUUGGGCGUAAAGGGAGCGUAGGCGGAUAUUUAAGUGGGAUGUGAAAUACUUGGGCUCAACCCAAGAACUGCAUUCCAAACUGGAUAUCUAGAGUGCAGGAGAGGAGAGUGGAAUUCCUAGUGUAGCGGUGAAAUGCGUAGAGAUUAGGAAGAACACCAGUGGCGAAGGCGACUCUCUGGACUGUAACUGACGCUGAGGCUCGAAAGCGUGGGGAGCGAACA
Molecule: ribosomal RNA, 402 nt
Filed under: uncultured Sarcina sp.
Lineage: Bacteria; Bacillati; Bacillota; Clostridia; Eubacteriales; Clostridiaceae
Description: partial 16S ribosomal RNA
Rfam family: Bacterial small subunit ribosomal RNA
Source: RNAcentral